Molecule: transfer RNA, 95 nt
Filed under: Trichlorobacter ammonificans
Lineage: Bacteria; Pseudomonadati; Thermodesulfobacteriota; Desulfuromonadia; Geobacterales; Geobacteraceae
Description: Trichlorobacter sp. G1 tRNA-Sec
Rfam family: Selenocysteine transfer RNA
Source: RNAcentral
GGAAGCACGUCGGUCGCUGGUGGGCCGCCCGGUCUUCAAAACCGGUGGGGUGGGAUGGGAAAUCUCCCCGGCAGGUUCGAUUCCUGUGUGCUUCC